This 322-nucleotide ribosomal RNA is filed under the name uncultured Pseudomonadota bacterium. RNAcentral's name for it is "bacterial SSU rRNA". It matches the Rfam family "Bacterial small subunit ribosomal RNA", at positions 30 to 351 of the family's 1533-position model. Lineage: Bacteria; Pseudomonadati; Pseudomonadota. The record is from RNAcentral.
AUUGAACGCUGGCGGCAUGCCUUACACAUGCAAGUCGAACGGCAGCACGGGAGCAAUCCUGGUGGCGAGUGGCGAACGGGUGAGUAAUAUAUCGGAACGUGCCCAGUCGUGGGGGAUAACGCAGCGAAAGCUGUGCUAAUACCGCAUACGAUCUCUGGAUGAAAGCGGGGGAUUCGCAAGGACCUCGCGCGAUUGGAGUGGCCGAUAUCAGAUUAGCUAGUUGGUGGGGUAAAGGCCCACCAAGGCGACGAUCCGUAGCUGGUCUGAGAGGACGACCAGCCACACUGGGACUGAGACACGGCCCAGACACCUACGGGUGCUG